Molecule: ribosomal RNA, 701 nt
Filed under: uncultured Gammaproteobacteria bacterium
Lineage: Bacteria; Pseudomonadati; Pseudomonadota; Gammaproteobacteria
Description: bacterial SSU rRNA
Rfam family: Bacterial small subunit ribosomal RNA
Source: RNAcentral
GUCGUGCGAGAAAGUACUUCGGGUGCGAGUAGAGCGGCGGACGGGUGAGUACGCGUAGGAAUCUACCUAGUAGAAGGGGAUAGCCCGGGGAAACUCGGAUUAAUACCGUAUACCUCCUCAGGGAGAAAGAGGGCUUAGCUUUGAUGCUCUCGCUAUUAGAUGAGCCUGCGUAAGAUUAGCUUGUUGGUGAGGUAAUGGCUCACCAAGGCGACGACCUUUAGCUGGUCUGAGAGGACGAUCAGCCACAUUGGGACUGAGACACGGCCCAGACUCCUACGGGAGGCAGCAGUGGGGAAUAUUGGACAAUGGGCGCAAGCCUGAUCCAGCCAUACCGCGUGUGUGAAGAAGGCUUUCGGGUUGUAAAGCACUUUAAGUAAGGAGAAAAAGAUUGUAGUUAAUACCUGCAAUCCGUGAUGUUACUUACAGAAUAAGGACCGGCUAAUUCCGUGCCAGCAGCCGCGGUAAUACGGAGGGGGUUAGCGUUGUUCGGAAUUACUGGGCGUAAAGCGCACGUAGGCGGAUUAGAACAGUUAGAGGUGAAAUCCCAGCGCUCAACCCUGGAACUGCCUUUAAAACUACUAGUCUAGAGUUCGAGAGAGGUGAGUGGAAUUCCGAGUGUAGAGGUGAAAUUCGUAGAUAUUCGGAGGAACACCAGUGGAGAGGCGGACACGGCUCAUCUGCAUGAGUGCGAACGUGGUAGA